This is a long non-coding RNA of Paramisgurnus dabryanus, 2917 nucleotides long. RefSeq lists it as uncharacterized. The record is from RefSeq and is a predicted model, not a curated record. NCBI's taxonomy places the organism in Eukaryota, Metazoa, Chordata, Actinopteri, Cypriniformes, Cobitidae.
CGGAAAGCAAGUACACACACAGUACGACUGAAGUGUCGCUGGAAGGCUGCAGGAACAGAAACCCCUGGAAAGAUCUUGCCCUUACCGAAGUUUGAAGGAAGAAUGUGCAAAGGGAGCAUUAUUACAAUGCAGAAGAUGGAAGUGGAUAUUUGGUGUGGAGAAUUAAAACUUUCCAAAAAGAAGCAUCAGAUGGACGGAUAAAACGCCCACGGCAACCACAAACAGGUGCAUCAUUUGCAGAUUGAUCAAGAUUUUGGACUUCUAUUUGGUGAGUCGACCGCUGCAAAGUUGUUGGAGAAGUGGUCUACCAACAUAAAACCAAAGGUUAUUGCACAGACCCGUGGCCUCACACAGACUUGUAAGCAUCCAAAAUGCUGAAGCCACUGAAGUUGAAGAUGGUAACUAUUGUGCUAUACAAGUUAUGAUUCAUGAAGAAUGGCUUUAGAUCUAUAGUUUCAAUUGAAGUCACAAUGUUACCCAUCAGACAUGCAUUAUUCAUAUGCAGCACAGAUUUAAGUAAAUAAUCAGAAUAAAAAUUACCGGUUUCUCUUAACAUUUCUACCUUGACCUUAGUGAUAUUGAAAUGAGGUCAUACAGUUAAAAUUAUUUACAACAUAUAAUCCAUGCUUUUGUUAUUUAGAGUCCCAAAUGAAAACAAUUUUAAACUGUAAAUCUUCAACUCGCGUACUAGGCCCUUGUGAAAACCCAUCUGAAAGUGCUCUAUUUUUACACACUAAGGGCUCUAUUUUAACGAUCUGAAACGCAAGUGCGAAGCGCAACGCGCAAGUGAGUUUGUGGGCGGAUCUUGGGCGCUGUUGCUAUUUUCCCGGCGUGAGAAAUAACUCUUGCGCCGGGCGCAAAUCAAUAAGGGGUUGGUCUGAAGUAGGUUCAUUAUUCAUAGGUGUGGUUUGGGCGUAACGUCAAAUAAACCAAUCAGAACGCUAGCCAACAUUCCCUUUAAACGCAAGGGCGCAAGUUCCAUGGCGGGUUGCUAUUAUUAUGACGGAUUUACCAGGCGUACGCCAGGAGCGGUUUACAGCCGAGGAGACCGACGUCCUUGUACGGGGGAAUCCCACGCUUGCCAGCAUAAAUCGGGCACGCCGUGUAACGGGAGGUGGAUCUGCCUCAGGACUUGACGCCAGCAGAGGACAUCGCUGCGUCCACCCUCACCGCUGAAAGGGUUUGGGGGCUUUGAAAUCGGACCCAAGAAACGCAAGCAAGGUCCAACCCCAAAGUACUCUUACAAAUCAAGUUCAUAUACAUUAAGGUUUCUUAUGAAAACAUUUUAACUAUUAUUUACAUAAAAUAAACGUAAUACAGCCACACAACAAAGUUAUGAAAAUAUUUUAAUCGUUAUUUGCAUGAGAAUAAAUAAAAACUAUCAACACAAUGCUCACCACUAUGAUUCCCCUUAUCUCGUGUAUUAAUAUUUUUAAGUGUAACAAUUUAUGAUUUGCAAAAAUAACUGUUGCAUCUGUGUAGAUUAGAUAAGCAAAGUGUAUGCGCGUUGUGCACGCUAUACAUUAUGGUCAAGCAUGCGCCCUUAAAAUAGUAUAAUGAACCACGCGCAACGCGCCACUGACUUUAGACUAGAUUUUUUUGGUUAGUAGCGCAAUUGUUUUUUGAAACUGCAAAAUAGCAUAAGAGAUGGUUUGCGCCGCAACACGCCUCCUUUUUGCGCUGAACCGCCCAGGGAGCGCAAGUUCAUUCCCUAGUUUGCUGACGUGCAUCUGUGGAGGGAAAAACCCCGCUGUGCGCCGGCGCAAAAUACGAAUGAUACAUGCGUCACUGACAAAGUCAAUUGCGCUGGGUGCAAGAUAGGGCCCUAAUUUUUUAUAUACAAAACGAUUCUUCUUCUUUAGUACUUAAAGAAAAUCUUAAAAACAUCUAAGGAUACUUGUCUGUACUAUUUUGAGACACCAUGAAUAUGAACUUAAAUGUGCUUAAAAUAUAUUUAAAAAAUGUAUUUAGUUACUGCUUGUAGUAAACUUAAACCCAUCUUUCAUACAAACAAGUGGUAAAUAAAUACAUUUUUUAAAUAUAUUUUAAGCACAUUUUAGUUUAUAUUCAUGGUGUCUCAAAAUAGCACAAUAAUUUUUAAUAUUAUUAAGGACAAAAUUAGUGUGCGAAAAGAGAGCACUUUCAGUACGUUAUUGAAGUGUACCUUCUUUUUCAGCUGGGUUUUCACAAGGGCCUAGUACGUGAGUUGCAGAUUUACACUUUUAAAUUGUUUUAAUUUGGGACUCUGAUAACAAACGUAUGGUUUAUAUAUUGUAAAUAAAGUUUAAAGGGGACGUAUCAUGAAAAUCUGACUUUUUCCUUGUUUAAGUGCUAUAAUUGGGUCCCCAGUGCUUCUAUCAACAGAGAAAAUGUGAAAAAGAUCAACCCAGUAACUUAGUUUUGAUAAACCAUUCUUUGCAAGCAUGUGAAAAAAUAGCUCAUUGAAAUUUGGCUCCCCUUGUGAUGUAAGAAGGGGAUCUUAUUAUAAUAAUACCGCCUCUUAAUCUGCACUAUUCAACCACUGCCAUUUAGUGCAGCUCAUUUGCAUUUAAAAGGACACACCCAACAACUGCACAUUUUUGCUCACCCCUACAAAGUGUAAAUUUUAACAUGUUACAAUAAAUUGUCUAUAUGGUAUUUUGAGCUAGAACUUCACAUACAUACUCUGGGAUAGCAAAUAUUUAUUUGACAUCUUAAAAAAGUCUUGUGAAAUGUCUCCUUUAACUGUAUUAUCUCAUUUCAGUAUUUGUAGUAGUUUGUUUCUGCUUUGUUUAUUGUACUAUAUUAUUUCAUGUAAUUCUUUAUCUCCUCUAUUGUAUUACUAUUUAUAUUAUUUUAGUGUUGUUGUCAUGAAUUGUAAAAAUGCUGUUUAAAAGAGGCUUUACAAAUAAAAUGUAUAAUAGAUGCUGUUUUUAGC